CCUACGGGAGGCAGCAGUGAGGAAUAUUGGUCAAUGGGCGCGAGCCUGAACCAGCGAAGUAGCGUGAAGGAUGACUGCCCUCCGGGUGGUAAACUUCUUUUAUAAGGGAGUAAAGUGCGGCACGUGUGCCUUUUUGUAUGUACUUUAUGAAUAAGGACCGGCUAACUCCGUGCCAGCAGCCGCGGUAAUACGGAGGAUCCGAGCGUUAUCCGGAUUUAUUGGGUUUAAAGGGAGCGUAGAUGGGUUGUUAAGUCAGUUGUGAAAGUUUGCGGCUCAACCGUAAGAUUGCAAUUGAUACUGGCAGGCUGGAGUGCAGGUGAGGUAGGCGGAAUUCGUGGUGUAGCGGUGAAAUGCUUAGAUAUCACGAAGAACUCCGAUUGCGAAGGCAGCUUACUAAACUGCCACUGACAUUGAUGCUCGAAAGUGUGGGUAUCAAACAGGAUUAGAUACCCCAGUAGUC
This 460-nucleotide ribosomal RNA is filed under the name uncultured bacterium. Its description in RNAcentral is "partial 16S ribosomal RNA". It matches the Rfam family "Bacterial small subunit ribosomal RNA", at positions 338 to 795 of the family's 1533-position model. The record is from RNAcentral.